UCGAACGAUGAUGCCCAGCUUGCUGGGCGGAUUAGUGGCGAACGGGUGAGUAAUACGUGAGUAACCUGCCCUUGACUCUGGGAUAAGCCUGGGAAACUGGGUCUAAUACUGGAUACUACCUCUUGCCGCAUGGUGGGUGGUGGAAAGGGUUUUACUGGUUUUGGAUGGGCUCACGGCCUAUCAGCUUGUUGGUGGGGUAAUGGCUCACCAAGGCGACGACGGGUAGCCGGCCUGAGAGGGUGACCGGCCACACUGGGACUGAGACACGGCCCAGACUCCUACGGGAGGCAGCAGUGGGGAAUAUUGCACAAUGGGCGGAAGCCUGAUGCAGCGACGCCGCGUGAGGGAUGACGGCCUUCGGGUUGUAAACCUCUUUCAGUAGGGAAGAAGCGAGAGUGACGGUACCUGCAGAAGAAGCGCCGGCUAACUACGUGCCAGCAGCCGCGGUAAUACGUAGGGCGCAAGCGUUGUCCGGAAUUAUUGGGCGUAAAGAGCUCGUAGGCGGUUUGUCGCGUCUGCUGUGAAAGCCCGGGGCUCAACCCCGGGUCUGCAGUGGGUACGGGCAGACUAGAGUGCAGUAGGGGAGACUGGAAUUCCUGGUGUAGCGGUGAAAUGCGCAGAUAUCAGGAGGAACACCGAUGGCGAANGGCAGGUCUCUGGGCUGUUACUGACGCUGAGGAGCGAAAGCAUGGGGAGCGAACAGGAUUAGAUACCCUGGUAGUCCAUGCCGUAACGUUGGGCACUAGGUGUGGGGGACAUUCCACGUUUUCCGCGCCGUAGCUAACGCAUUAGUGCCCCGCCUGGGGGAGUACGGCCGCAAGGCUAAAACUCAAAGGAAUUGGACGGGGGCCCGCCACAAGCCGCCG
This 866-nucleotide ribosomal RNA is filed under the name Kocuria rosea. RNAcentral describes it as "bacterial SSU rRNA". It matches the Rfam family "Bacterial small subunit ribosomal RNA", at positions 62 to 935 of the family's 1533-position model. Lineage: Bacteria; Bacillati; Actinomycetota; Actinomycetes; Micrococcales; Micrococcaceae. The record is from RNAcentral.